AAAUUGAAGAGUUUGAUCAUGGCUCAGAUUGAACGCUGGCGGCAGGCCUAACACAUGCAAGUCGAACGGUAGCACAGAGAGCUUGCUCUCGGGUGACGAGUGGCGGACGGGUGAGUAAUGUCUGGGAAACUGCCCGAUGGAGGGGGAUAACUACUGGAAACGGUAGCUAAUACCGCAUAACGUCGCAAGACCAAAGAGGGGGACCUUAGGGCCUCUUGCCAUCGGAUGUGCCCAGAUGGGAUUAGCUUGUUGGUGAGGUAACGGCUCACCAAGGCGACGAUCCCUAGCUGGUCUGAGAGGAUGACCAGCCACACUGGAACUGAGACACGGUCCAGACUCCUACGG
Molecule: ribosomal RNA, 345 nt
Filed under: Klebsiella indica
Lineage: Bacteria; Pseudomonadati; Pseudomonadota; Gammaproteobacteria; Enterobacterales; Enterobacteriaceae
Description: Bacterial small subunit ribosomal RNA
Rfam family: Bacterial small subunit ribosomal RNA
Source: Rfam by way of RNAcentral